Molecule: ribosomal RNA, 888 nt
Filed under: uncultured Chloroflexota bacterium
Lineage: Bacteria; Bacillati; Chloroflexota
Description: bacterial SSU rRNA
Rfam family: Bacterial small subunit ribosomal RNA
Source: RNAcentral
AGAGUUUGAUCCUGGCUCAGGAUGAACGCUGGCGGCGUGCCUAAUACAUGCAAGUCGAACGAGGCCCUCUUCCUUCGGGAGGAGGUGUCCUAGUGGCGAACGGGUGAGUAACACGUUGGUGACCUACCCCGAAGAGGGGGACAACCCCGGGAAACUGGGGCUAAUACCCCAUGUGAUCCUAAGGAUUAGAUGCCUAAGGAUGAAAUGGAGCAAUUCGCUUCGGGAGGGGCCUGCGGCCUAUCAGCUAGUUGGUGAGGUAAUGGCUCACCAAGGCGACGACGGGUAGGGGACCUGAGAGGGUGACCCCCCACACUGGAACUGAAACACGGACCAGACACCUACGGGUGGCAGCAGUAGGGAGUAUUGCACAAUAGGCGAAAGCCUGAUGCAGCAACGCCGCGUGCGCGAUGAAGGCCUUAGGGUUGUAAAGCGCUUUUCUGGGGGAAGAGAAAGGACGGUACCCCAGGAAUAAGUCUCGGCUAACUACGUGCCAGCAGCCGCGGUAAAACGUAGGAGGCGAGCGUUAUCCGGAUUUACUGGGCGUAAAGCGCGUGCAGGCGGUUUGGUAAGUCGGACGUGAAAGCUCCCGGCUCAACUGGGAGAGGCCGUUCGAAACUACCAGGACUAGAGGGCAGCAGAGGGAGGUGGAAUUCCAGGUGUAGCGGUGAAAUGCGUAGAUAUCGGAAGGAACACCAGUGGCGAAGGCGACUUCCUGGGCCAAUUCUGACGCUGAGGUGCGAAAGCGUGGGGAGCAAACAGGAUUAGAUACCCUGGUAGUCCACGCCGUAAACGAUGAGAACUAGAUGUCGGGAGGGUUGCCUUUCGGUGUCGCAGCUAACGCGUUAAGUUCUCCGCCUGGGGAGUACGCCGGCAACGGUAAAACUCAAA